RNAcentral lists this ribosomal RNA (428 nucleotides) under uncultured bacterium. RNAcentral's name for it is "bacterial SSU rRNA". It matches the Rfam family "Bacterial small subunit ribosomal RNA", at positions 355 to 775 of the family's 1533-position model. The record is from RNAcentral.
UGAGGAAUUUUGCGCAAUGGCCGCAAGGCUGACGCAGCAACGCCGCGUGGGUGAUGAAGGCCUUCGGGUCGUAAAGCCCUGUCAGGUGGGAAGAAAGGCCUUAAGGAGAAAGACUUGAGGUUUGACGGUACCACCAGAGGAAGCACCGGCUAACUCCGUGCCAGCAGCCGCGGUAAUACGGAGGGUGCGAGCGUUAUUCGGAAUUACUGGGCGUAAAGCGCGUGUAGGCGGGGGGACAAGUCUGAUGUGAAAGCCCUGGGCUUAACCUGGGAAGCGCAUUGGAAACUGUUUUUCUUGAGUACUGGAGAGGAAGGGGGAAUUCCCGGUGUAGAGGUGAAAUUCGUAGAGAUCGGGAGGAAUACCAGUGGCGUAGGCGCCCUUCUGGACGGUAACUGACGCUGAGACGCGAAAGCGUGGGGAGCAAACAG